Molecule: long non-coding RNA, 2144 nt
Filed under: Homo sapiens (human)
Lineage: Eukaryota; Metazoa; Chordata; Mammalia; Primates; Hominidae
Description: HSALNT0170269
Source: RNAcentral
AUUGCAGGUGCAGAGGAAUAGCUCAUUCGAAUGAGCCCACAAAGCUCAUCCACUUACUGAACAGACUUUCCAAGGACAUGGCCUCCCACUGCCCAGACACUCCCUCUCAUGGCAAGGAGGCCAGGGAGCCACCGCAUCUGCCACAGAAGAUUCUUGGAUGCCUCAUCCCUGAACAUCCACUGACAGCGAAGAAUCAGACCCCAGCCCCAGGGGACAGCCUCGGCUGGCCACAGUAGUGCUGUCUGGCUCCAGGGAUCUGGACAGUGGCCUUCCUUCCUUCAGAGAACACCCCAAAAGCUCCUGCCUGGGGUCCAGACACCAGCUACUGGAGUCUCUCACCCUGGAGGCCCUCACCUGGAGACCCUCACCUGGAGGCCCUCACUUGGAGACCUUCACCUGGAGACCCUCAACUGGAGACUGUCACCUGGAGACCCUCACCUGGAAGCCCUCACCUGGAGGCUCUCACCUAGAGACCCUCACCUGGAGAUUCUCACCUGGAUACCCUGACCUGGAAGCCCUCAUCCAGAGGCUCUCACCUGGAGGCCUUCACUUUGAGACCUUCACCUGGAGUCUCUCACCUAAAGACCCUCUCCGGGAAGCCCUUCCUUGGAACCCCUCCCUGAUGACUGCUGAGUCCAGAGCCAGAGUCAGGUUUAUUCACAGGUAUUUGCCUUCAGGGAUGCUCUUUGAGGUAGCAAGGAUGUGAGUGGAAUGCCCUGAAAGUGGCAAAGGGGACAUGGGCAGUCUCAGGGGGUAACCUGGGAAAGCUUUCUAAGUAAGGUGGUGUUUGAACUGGGCUUCAAGGUACACAUAGGAGUUUUACAGGUGGACAGAAAGAAGGCCAAGGAGUUCCAGGCCGAGGAGGCCACAUGGGCAGGGAAGUGAGUUGCUUCACGACAUGCAGGGUGGGAGCACAAGGCUCAGACAGAGGCCUCCGAGAUGGAGAAGAAGGUAUCUGGCGUGCCCUGGGAUCAUGAUGGCAAGUGGGGGUGGGGGCUUUGCAGCUGUAUGUCAAGCGUGCCUGCUGUUUCUCCUUUCCUAAGGAAUGCUUGUACUCCCAGCUGCCACCUUCCUUCCUCUCUACUCUGAAAGGGUGUCCCAGGCUGCUCUCCAGCUCUGCAGGAGGAGGAUGGGAUGUCAGAUGGUCCAGGCUGGGUGCUGCGUCUGGGAGAAACAGGAUACCUGUGUAGGGAUGGGCAGGGGGAAGUGGGGAGUCUCAGGGGCUUCUAUGAAGGGGCCCUUUGGAUGAGAAGUGGGAGUCUGAUCCUUGUCCCUCUGAGAGCAUAGUGCUUAUCAGUAGCUGCUGGGACAGGUGGUGUGCUGACCCGUGGCAGUGGCGACCUCCAUAUCUCUCUGCCUGUCCAUCUUCUUACGCCUUAAACUCCGACGCUCAGGAAAUGGUGCAGCUACGUGUUCUGAAAUGGAGCCCGGCCUAGCCACGGUUCACUUCUCAGCCCUCCUAACGCAGAGGAAGAGUUACCCAGUCACAGUCAGAGAGCCUGACUCCAGCCUGCUCAAUGAGCCAGCGGGAGCUUGGCAGCCCAUUCUGAGACAGGUAAUGGGGAGGAGCAUUAGCACCGGGAGACCUUGGUAAUCACUCAGCUGGCCCCUGAUUUUACAGCUGAGGGAGCCUAGGUCCUUACCUCACACCCGAGAAAGGGAAAUUAUUACCAGAGUUAAAGCUUUCCAUUUUUGAUAUUUUAUAGCGAGCCAUUUUUAAGUAGAGUCUGGUGUCAGUCUUGAAGAGCUGAACACGCUCACUAGGAAAGGUGAUGAGUACUUAGGGCAGUGCUGGCUGAGCGGCACUUUUAAUCAAGGACUCCUGGGCCUCUUGCAUAAAUUCACUCCAAACCCAGUGCAUCACUCCUUCGUUCUCUGAGGACAGCGGCAACUUUGUCAUCUUUUGUUUCAAAGUGCAUAGUAUUUAGAUAGUCUAAAAUGUGCUCUGCAAAUACUUCCUUUUGGAAAUUUUGAUAAUAAAAGUUAUAAAACGCUAGAAGUGCAGUGGUUCUUCACUUUUUUUUUUUUAUAAUGGACCUCAGAGAUUGUGAGAAAAAUGAGAAUCUACCUAGUCAUACUCAUAGCAACAUGCAUAAAAUUGUGCUUUAUUGCAAUAGGCAUGAAUAUCUUUAAUAAAGACAAAU